UACGGAGGGCGCGAGCGUUGUCCGGAAUCACUGGGCGUAAAGGGCGCGUAGGCGGCCCUGGUAAGUCGGCGGUGAAAGCCCGGGGCUCAACCCCGGGUCGGCCGCGGGUACUGCCGGGCUGGAGUGCCGUAGGGGCAGGCGGAAUUCCGGGUGUAGCGGUGGAAUGCGUAGAGAUCCGGAAGAACACCGGUGGCGAAGGCGGCCUGCUGGGCGGCGACUGACGCUGAGUCGCGACAGCGUGGGGAGCAAACAGG
This 254-nucleotide ribosomal RNA is filed under the name uncultured bacterium. RNAcentral describes it as "partial 16S ribosomal RNA". It matches the Rfam family "Bacterial small subunit ribosomal RNA", at positions 524 to 776 of the family's 1533-position model. The record is from RNAcentral.